CAGGGAUUGCCUUAGUAACGGCGAGUGAAGCGGCAAUAGCUCAAAUUUGAAAUCUGGCGCUUGCGUCCGAGUUGUAAUUUGCAGAGGAUGAUUUUGGUUAGGUACCUUCCGAGUUCCUUGGAACAGGACGCCUUAGAGGGUGAGAGCCCCGUACGGUUGGAUGCCGAGCCUUUGUAAAUCUCCUUCGACGAGUCGAGUAGUUUGGGAAUGCUGCUCUAAAUGGGAGGUAAAUUUCUUCUAAAGCUAAAUACCGGCCAGAGACCGAUAGCGCACAAGUAGAGUGAUCGAAAGAUGAAAAGCACUUUGAAAAGAGGGUUAAAUAGCACGUGAAAUUGUUGAAAGGGAAGGAUUUAUGACCAGACUUUUUCUAGGAGGAUCAUCCGGUGUUCUCACCGGUGCACUUCUUCUAGUUUAGGCCAGCAUCGACUUUCGGCGGUGGAUAAAAGCUUUAGGAAUGUGGCUCCUCUCGGGGAGUGUUAUAGCCUAUUGUAUAAUACACUGCUGGGGGUCGAGGUACGCGCUUCUGCAAGGAUGCUGGCGUAAUGGUUAUCAAUCACCCGUCUUGAAACACGGACCAAGGAGUCGAACAUUUGUGCAAGUGUUUGGGUGUUAAACCCUCACGCGUAAUGAAAGUGAACGGAGGUGAGAGCCCUUACGGGUGCAUCAUCGACCGAUCCUGAUGUUUUCGGAUGGAUUUGAGUAAGAGCAUAACUGUUCGGACCCGAAAGAUGGUGAACUAUGCGUGGAUAGGGUGAAGCCAGAGGAAACUCUGGUGGAGGCUCGCAGCGGUUCUGACGUGCAAAUCGAUCGUCAAAUCUGCGCAUGGGG
This 828-nucleotide ribosomal RNA is filed under the name Hyalotiella transvalensis. RNAcentral's name for it is "partial 28S ribosomal RNA". It matches the Rfam family "Eukaryotic large subunit ribosomal RNA", at positions 69 to 922 of the family's 3401-position model. Lineage: Eukaryota; Fungi; Ascomycota; Sordariomycetes; Amphisphaeriales; Sporocadaceae. The record is from RNAcentral.